Molecule: ribosomal RNA, 253 nt
Filed under: uncultured bacterium
Lineage: Bacteria
Description: partial 16S ribosomal RNA
Rfam family: Bacterial small subunit ribosomal RNA
Source: RNAcentral
UACGUAGGGUGCAAGCGUUAAUCGGAAUUACUGGGCGUAAAGCGUGCGCAGGCGGUUUUGUAAGUUUGUCGUGAAAGCCCCGGGCUCAACCUGGGAAUGGCGAUGAAGACUGCAAGGCUUGAAUCUGGCAGAGGGGGGUAGAAUUCCACGUGUAGCAGUGAAAUGCGUAGAGAUGUGGAGGAACACCGAUGGCGAAGGCAGGUCUCUGGGCUGACACUGACGCUCAUGCACGAAAGCGUGGGGAGCAAACAGG